RNAcentral lists this ribosomal RNA (460 nucleotides) under uncultured bacterium. RNAcentral's name for it is "partial 16S ribosomal RNA". It matches the Rfam family "Bacterial small subunit ribosomal RNA", at positions 338 to 795 of the family's 1533-position model. The record is from RNAcentral.
CCUACGGGAGGCAGCAGUGAGGAAUAUUGGUCAAUGGACGAGAGUCUGAACCAGCCAAGUAGCGUGAAGGAUGACUGCCCUAUGGGUUGUAAACUUCUUUUAUAAAGGAAUAAAACGAGGCACGUGUGCCUUUUUGCAUGUACGUUAUGAAUAAGGAUCGGCUAACUCCUUGCCAGCAGCCGCGGUAAUACGGAGGAUCCGAGCGUUAUCCGGAUUUCUUGGGUUUAAAGGUAACGUAGAUGGGUUGUUAAGUUAGUUGUGAAAGUUUGCGGCUCAACCGUAAAAUUGCAAGUGAUACUGGCAGUCUUGAGUACAGUUGAGGUAGGCGGAAUUCGUGGUGUAGCGGUGAAAUGCUUAGAUAUCACGAAGAACCCCGAUUGCGAAGGCAGCUUACUAAACUGUGACUGACAUUGAUGCUCGAAAGUGUGGGUAUCAAACAGGAUUAGAUACCCGAGUAGUC